This is a long non-coding RNA of Silurus meridionalis, 1581 nucleotides long. RefSeq lists it as uncharacterized. The record is from RefSeq and is a predicted model, not a curated record. NCBI's taxonomy places the organism in Eukaryota, Metazoa, Chordata, Actinopteri, Siluriformes, Siluridae. The transcript has 2 exons.
UAUAGCGUCUGUAAACUGGCAUUCUCUCACCAACUUAUUAUUUUUUUCAGUAUACACUUUUAAACUACUCUGUCUUGAAGAUAUCAGAAUCAUUUGACUGUUUCCAGGAUUAUAGAUCAUGGACUACAUUUCCCAGCAGCCACUGCAUUUUGAUGUCCUCAUCACAUGACCUAAUCACACACACCUGUUACAUGUGAUUAGGCACACACUGCCCUUAAAUUUUUUUUCUUGUGUUUGUCUUCCAUGGUUGUUGUUAGUCUUGCUACAAAUUAUGACGCUCUUGUUCAUAUGUUUGUCUGACCUGAAGGUCACCUGUGGCGCAGCAUUAAUCCCUGUGUUAAUACAGCAGAGGAGACACAAGAGCUGGACCUCUUUUGGAGAAAGUCGUUUAUCUGUUGUUAAACAUUUUUACUUGCUUUUAAAACAUUUUACCUUCUUUGCACAAACUUUGAUCUGUGAGACCCAAAUGUAAAAAUUUUUGGAUGGAUUUGGAUUUUUUUUGGACAUUAUGGAUUCCAACGUAAUUUCUAUCAGCAAUUAUAGUCACAAUACAUUUACAGAAAUUUAAUUUUUUUCUAGUCAAGUCCAAUAUUAAAUAUGUAUAUAUGUUUGUAUGUAUGUAUGUAUGUAUGUAUGUAUGUGUAUUAUUGAUUUGGACAUACAUAAACAUACCCAGUGCAUCAUGCAGGGAAAUAGGACUAAAUUGGAUUAAAAUUGUAACAAAUAUAAAUAGAAUAGACAGACAAAAUUUUAUUAACAAUAUAAUAAAAUGGAAUACAACUACAAAAAAUAUUGUGAAAAAUAAGACAUGUCUGACAGAGCUGUCAGCUCAUCCUUCAAAUUAAAUCAUCUGCAUUCUUUUACAAAUCAACUCAGAAUAUAAUUUAAAAAACAAUAAAAGAAUCAUCUACAUCAUGAACACACAUGAUUCCUAUUUAGAAUGGCCUCAAUUCAAAAUCUUGUGGUUAUAUUAGGUUUUGUGCCCAAGUAACCGUCUGAGUAUGAUGAGCUGUGUUAUGUUUUGCCUUGUUGAAUAAUGAAUCUGGAAGACGUAUUUGUACUGACUGUGAUUAUUACACUUUUCACUUUGUCUUUAUAAAGUACUUUGAGUAGAAUAAUAGAGAGAAAAUCUAUUUGAACAAUAGUAGUAUCAUCCCACAACAUAAAAUUUAAACAAGUGGGGUCUGAAUACUUUCCGAUUGCACUGUAUAUAUAUAUAUAUUGUCUAAGCUCCACCGGCUUCGCCUGGUCUCGGCACCCCACCCAUAUAGAGCGCCUCUCCUGUGUACUAACUAUACACACCUGAACCUCAUUCACGAGGCCUACUUAAGGACCUCAGCCCGCCUAUGGGGCGUCCGUUAUUGCACGUUGUGCCUAGAGAACUCUCGAACUCUGUAUUCAUCGUGUGAACCGUGCCUCUCCUCAGGCCCACCACGGAUAUUGCCUUCAUGACUCGGUAUUUGUUUUGGACUUUGUGGGCCUCACCGCCGUCCGGUGUACCACAGAUUAUCUCCUUCCCGUUUCACUUCCCGAGCAAACUCUCCGCUGUCUUAUGUUUUCUGAAUAAACUUGUUUCAUCUA